This 497-nucleotide ribosomal RNA is filed under the name uncultured bacterium. Its description in RNAcentral is "partial 16S ribosomal RNA". It matches the Rfam family "Bacterial small subunit ribosomal RNA", at positions 28 to 507 of the family's 1533-position model. The record is from RNAcentral.
GAUGAACGCUGGCGGCGUGCCUAAUACAUGCAAGUCGAGCGAACAGACGAGGAGCUUGCUCCUCUGACGUUAGCGGCGGACGGGUGAGUAACACGUGGAUAACCUACCUAUAAGACUGGGAUAACUUCGGGAAACCGGAGCUAAUACCGGAUAAUAUAUUGAACCGCAUGGUUCAAUAGUGAAAGACGGUUUUGCUGUCACUUAUAGAUGGAUCCGCGCCGCAUUAGCUAGUUGGUAAGGUAACGGCUUACCAAGGCAACGAUGCGUAGCCGACCUGAGAGCGUGAUCGGCCACACUGGAACUGAGAAACGGUCCAGACUCCUACGGGCGGCAGCAGUAGGGAAUCUUCCGCAAUGGGCGAAAGCCUGACGGAGCAACGCCGCGUGAGUGAUGAAGGUCUUCGGAUCGUAAAACUCUGUUAUUAGGGAAGAACAAAUGUGUAAGUAACUAUGCACGUCUUGACGGUACCUAAUCAGAAAGCCACGGCUAACUACGUG